Molecule: long non-coding RNA, 534 nt
Organism: Saccostrea cuccullata (small rock oyster)
Lineage: Eukaryota; Metazoa; Mollusca; Bivalvia; Ostreida; Ostreidae
Exons: 3
Source: RefSeq, a predicted model, not a curated record
ACCUGUCUUCGUCCCACAGAUAUAAGGUUCAAUAUCACAAACUACAAUGAACUUCGUUCACCUUCUGUUGAUUCUUGUUCUGGUGAUACUGACCGUCUACGUCAUGGGAUCAGUUGCCUCCCCUGGGAGAUGGUACAGAAGAUGGUCCGAUUCCAGCAGCAGCAGCAGCAGUGGUUCUUACAGCUGGAGUCGUUAACAUGGAGGAUGUCUGACGUUAUAUGACUUCGAAAGACAGCUGAAAACAACUUUCUUAAUUUAUACUUUCAUUGGUUCUUUUUUCUCUGACUAAACUGAAAAGGACAUUGUUUGAAAUUCCAAUCCCAUGCCAUAAUUUUUAAUGUGUACACGUGUAGAAAUUCCUCCAUAAAAAUCUGUGCUAAAUUUUCUUGUAUUCAUUUAUUCAUUUCGAAGGGUACGUGACAGAUGUUUCAAAACGACAUUUGAAUAACAUUUGAAUAGCUAAUUUGAAGUAGUACAUGUAACAUGUUCCACAAUUGUUAAAUUGAUUGAUUGAUUAAAUGUUGUUUUACGUCU